UUGAAGCUUUUUUCUAAAUUCUCGCCAUGCUCUAUGAUGGAGCCUGUAAAAGCCUUGAGACUAUCAAAUGAUGGCUGUGAAGUUUGAUGUUGAACCUCAAUUUUCGAUGCCAAAGUUGCUUGAGAUAUCUUCUCUUUAGGAACUAUGGGCGGCUUCACACUAGGAUCAAUGGAUUUCGCAUUUUGUGCUAAAGUUUUCCCUUCUUUUACCUGAGGUUGAACAGCCAGGUUCGCAAAAUUCAACUGAUCAGCUAUAUAUUCUUGAUGAUUAUGCCUUUUUUGAAAACUCACUUGUUACAUUUCUAUUGCUUCUCUGGUCCAGUGGUAUGGCUU
RNAcentral lists this long non-coding RNA (332 nucleotides) under Lathyrus oleraceus (garden pea). RNAcentral describes it as "Pisum sativum (pea) long non-coding RNA (PSAT_LNC025048)". The record is from RNAcentral. Lineage: Eukaryota; Viridiplantae; Streptophyta; Magnoliopsida; Fabales; Fabaceae.